GAGGGUGUAGCUCAAGUGGUAGAGUGAAUGCUUAGCACGCAUGAGGUCCUGGGUUCAAUUCCCAGUAUCUCCU
RNAcentral lists this transfer RNA (73 nucleotides) under Camelus bactrianus (Bactrian camel). It matches the Rfam family "tRNA". From Rfam's summary of the family: Transfer RNA (tRNA) molecules are approximately 80 nucleotides in length. The record is from Rfam by way of RNAcentral. RNAcentral also lists the same sequence under 2 other names. Lineage: Eukaryota; Metazoa; Chordata; Mammalia; Artiodactyla; Camelidae.